Molecule: long non-coding RNA, 5179 nt
Organism: Salvelinus namaycush (lake trout)
Lineage: Eukaryota; Metazoa; Chordata; Actinopteri; Salmoniformes; Salmonidae
Exons: 4
Source: RefSeq, a predicted model, not a curated record
UUUCCCAUGUUUAUCAAGAAUGGUCCACUACCUAAUGGACUUCAAGCCAACUUAACACAACUGGAGUUAACAUGGGCCAGCAUCCCUGUGGAAUGGUUUUGACGCCUUGUAGAGUUGUGCACCUCAAUAUUAGGAAGGUGUUCCUAAUGUUUGCUAUACUCAGUGUAUAUAACACAUUUCAUGUUAUUUUAACACACUAAUUCUCUUUUUCUAAAGUCGGUGCAUUGUUUUUUUUUUACAAGAACAGGACAGGAUACAUUGAAAGACAAAAAAAAUAACUGUUACCUGUACAGGAAUGAUUUGCUGUUGGUAAGUCAAGUUUAGAAUACGAUUCAGUCUGUGGGUGAGACUGUUGUGGCUGUACCUAACCCACACAGUGAUCAGAAAACUGUAGACGUAACUGAAACACAGAAAAACAGGGAAACAGCGUCCUCUGGUGUGCAGAGCUCAGCAGACGGGGGAAAAACAACCCAAGUGAGGUGAGUUUCAAAACACAGGUGGGCUAUAAAACAUUACUAAACAUUUAAAAUUGUACUUGUAACUCCCCUUUACUACGGCAUUUGAAAUUGUAUUUGUAUAUUUUACAUUGUCAUGAUGACGUCACUUGCGUGUUUUAGAAUAAUUGUAUUUUGUCUUUUAGAGUGAUAAAGCAAUGCUACAUCACUCGGGCCAGGAUGCAAGAGAAAAGAGAAGCUGGCCGUGGCUUUACAGAAUAGGAGCUAGUGGAGCUGGAAGAGAGAGUGAUUCUGAAUCAGAGGAAGAAGUUGGUCCACUAGAUAGAAACCCAGACCAAACCAGAGCCAGUGGACAACAAAGUUCAUCAGAUAUUCCACAGAGUGACGGCGCUCCAAGAGAGAGUGGUUACGGACUGUGAUGGAUUUUUUUUAAAGCAGCUCGUGGCUGAAGCAGAGACGAGAAGUGUCAGAAUAUUUGGGUCAAUGACGAAUAAGGUUUUCAAAAACAUUUUAAAAGGGAAAAAUAUUAAUUUCGAAACACUUUUUAUGUUCCCUUGAGUGUUACCUACAAUGUGUUUGCACAUUCAGGAUUUGUCGCUUUUUAUGCAAGUUAAAUUUACUUCCUAAAAAAAGUCAUCCUGUCUGACCAUACAUUUUUUUAUAUAAAAAAUGUUUUCUGACCAUUAUUUCUAACAAAGAAGAGUAAAAUAUGAAUAUAAACAUGGUCUCAGUUAUUCAAUAUCAAAGCAGUUAAAAAUUACGGUAUAAUUUUUUAACUUUUCACUGGACGACCCCACAUUUUGAAUGACUGUCAACUAAAAUUUCUGUUAGAGAAAUUAAAAUCAUAAUCAAUUUUACAAAAAUGCAUUUUUCUCUUAUAGACUGAGCUUCUCUGCAUUUUAUUAGACAAUAUAAUAAUGUUAUUGUUUUUAACCAUUAAGUACCGAAUGAUCAUUGCUGGUUGCACCGAAUGACUAUUAUUUUACAGUGUAAUUUUUUUUAGGCAGAUCUCUUUCCCUCUUACAGAAACACACACAUACAUAAACAGUAUGGUUUCUUAUUCAACUACAAUGAUGCCUUUAAUGCUUAAUAAAUUACAAGAAAUGUGACUCAAAUGUUUAUCACGCAGAAACAUUUCAUCAUGAACAUGGCAAUGAACUUCUAAAAAUGAUAAAAAUUCUGCACUAUGAUACAUUUUUCAAACAAUGUUAAAACAGUUAAGAAUCAAUGUAAUACAUACAUAGUAAAGUUCUUGAAGUACAGUAAUGACAUUCAAACAUUAAAAUACAAAACGUUUAAGAAAGUGUUCUACAUUACAUCAAUUACUCAUUUGAUUAAAAACUAAUGAAAUUGCUCUGUGCAAUGUCUUGUAAAAACAUUAAUGUAACAUUAAAACAUCCACAGAUAUGUUUAAGUUUGUGCAGAACAGUGCAAGAUUAAAACAAUUAUAAAUGUGAAAGCAAUUCAUGAGGUUCAACCAUUAAAUACAAAUGAUUUCAUUGCAGCAAAAGUUGUAACAGAAACUCAAGUUGACAAUUAUCAAACUUGCAUUCCUCAGUUUGUUUGAUGAUGUUGCACUCAUGUGACAAGAAAGCAGCCCAGUCUGUGUCGGACAGCCGAGAUGCUCUUAAGCUCAAGGGCUUGGGCUCACUGAUCAUUGCCUUCACAUCUCUUUCAUAGUACAAGGUAAUGUCUGGCACAGAUGACCAGACAAAAACAUUCCUCACUCCAUACUGCUGCAUAGAAGUGAUCAGCACUUCCUUUCCUAAUCACCUUCAGUACCUGGCCUACAAAGGGGCGGUAGCGGUAAGUGAGUAAAAUCACUGAGAAAGCCAAGCCAGUAAAAAAGUCAUAUUAUAACCUAUGUUGUGAUAAUUAGGUUGUUUGCUCAAACCCAUUCGUUCAUUCGCCACCGUGAUAUACAAUAAGGCCGUGACAACAAAAAGACAACAGUCACGGAAUAAAUUCAACUACACAUACGUUUGUUUCAUCACAAAACUGGAGAGCAAUAUCUGUGGUGAAGGCCACAAAGCAAAUAUUGCAUACAAACAGUUAUUUUUAUUAUUUUAUUUAAUCAGGCAAGUCAGUUAAGAACAAAUUCUUAUUUGCAAUGACAGCCUACCCAGGAAUAGUGGGUUAAAUGCCUUGUUCUCACGUAAACAUGUUUUACAGGCAACUGCUUGUGCACCCAUGUGAGAACUUGACUUUUACCUUUAAGUAUGCAUCUUGAGUAUCAAAAUAAAAUACAAGCUUUUCAGAUAAUUCAAAAUUUGUAUUGUUUUUUAGCAUUUUCUGGGGGGGUAAAACCUGACAGGGAGUGGAAACGUGAACUUAUUAAACAUUUACGAGCAACUUCCUAACAUUUCUUCUUAACCAAAGGCUGCCUCACAGGCAUCUUAAUGAUGUCACAUAUUGUCACUAGUAUCAUCAUGUGAUUUGAUCCAAAAUGGUGACUUCAUGUCAGUUGCACCGAAUGAUAAUCAUGAAGGCUAAUUUUCCGGACAAAAGUAUUUCAAGUAUUUAAAACCUUUCUGCCUAAACUGUCUUACCCAUAUACAAGUGUAGUGCAGUAGACCAUUAGACAAUCAUGCCAGAAUAAUCUUUUGACAGUUUUGUUAUGAUUUAAGAUGUUUUAUUAACACAUAUAGAUUGUAUUUCGUUUUUGGACAGGUGCACAGAAUGAAAAAGUGGAGAAAAAAAUCACAUCUAACCAUUAACUCUUUUAGGACAAAGUAAAAGAGAAAGAGCAUAGUUUCAUAACAUAAAAUGUGUAUAUAUUGGUUGUUGAUUUUGGGAAAAUAUUUCAUUCGGACACCAAAAUAUGCACAUCAAGCCAUUGACACAUUUACAUUCUAGUUGUGUUUACCCAGAGUGCCUUUCUCAGAUAUUCAGAUUUGUCGACAAGACCCUUCUGCUGCAGCAGAGUAACCUCCAUGCUGCCAGGUGGAUGCUAGAGCAAACCACAGACACCUUCUCACCAGUAGCCUGCAAAGGAUACUAUAAGACCACAAUAUUUGUUGAUGGCCAUCAAUGCUGCUUUUGUUCCUGUGAUGCCAUCUGGGGACCGCAGGUCCUUAGGUCUGUCUCAAGACCCCCAUGACAACACACUUCUGUCUUGCCUGUCUGCAGGCUUCCUCUGACCUCUCGCAGACCCCCUGAGCCUGAGUGAAGCUGCUCUCCCUGAACCCGGUAACACACCGGGAAGAGGGGGACAGGAGGGGAGGAUAAAGACACACCCCUGGGAGCCAGUCAUGGGGCACUGCUUUUAGCUGAGGCGGAAGACCCUGGCUAUUUUCAAGCCGACAACUAUUCGUGGUUCAUGACCUGCUCACAAGCAUAUUUACAAUAUCAAAUUUCCUAAUGUUGACCUUCAAGUGGGGCUUUCAACUUUAAAACUCGAGUCCACUUAAGAGAGCAGUUAUGGCAAAUAUGCUGUCCAUUCCUGAGGUUAGACUGAGUAUUGAUUACAUGGUACAGUGUAGGGUCGAAUCAAACAUGAUUUUCAUGGUACAUUCUGUCUACACAUAAUAUUAAGCAUCGAUUCAUUAAUUAUGUAAAAUGUAGACACUGUAUUCAGGAGGGCUGUAUGCAUAAUGUUUCUACAACUUAAAGUAACUGUCCAGUGUUUCCAGAUUUCUAUGAAAUAUGACAUAUAAUUAAUUACAAUAAGAGUAGAAUAGUUUUCCUUCCAAAAAAAGUGUAAUAAAGGAUGUUAAAAAGCAGAUUUUAUGUAUUAGAAUGGUGUUGGCAUACCCCAACAACAGAAUGGUGUGGGUGUAUAGCGGUCAUUAAAAAUACUAAUGCGAGUAGACCACUGAUUGGCCAGCUCAUCCUCCACAGGAGGAUGACAUCCUCUGAGGAAAUGGCAAGCAUUUUUGAAACGGUCUGUUUGAGAUACAAGGUUGAGGUGGGGUUUUUGAGGUGUUUUUUUCUCCCUUUGGCCACAUAUGAGUAUAGGAUGCGUCAACAACAUUAUUUGGGUAUGGAGUUAACAGUUUAUCAACUUUUAAAAGUGAGAUUUUAACUGGACAGUUACUUUAAAUAUUUUUUAAUUUGUGUAUGCUGGUUUUUCUUUUUUGUUCUUUCAGAAGAGAUUUUGUCAACUGCUGCGGAGCUGAAAGACACUCAUUUUGUGUGUAUCCCUGACCUCUGUCAUCUGGGAGGAGAGAAAGAAGAGGUUCUCAUCACCAAGGUGUAUAGAAUGACAGACAUCGCUUUGGAUAAUAUAUUGGACCACAAUAUGUAUGAAAUGAAUUUGUUCUUUGUUAACAUGAUUAGGCAAUCACGUUUUAUUGUUAAAUUCUGGAAAUAUUUUUGUAGAUAUUGUUUGUGGCAAUUUUCUGUUUUUUUAAACUGGGGGUUUGAGUAUCUGGAGAAAAAGGAAAACUUUUGGUUUUUGUUUCAUUAGUCCAUUGCUGAUAUAGUCCCAAAAUGUUUUGUAUUUGUAUUUAUUAUGGAUCCUUAUUAGCUGCUGCCAAUGAAGCAGCUACUCUUCCUGGGGUCCAGCAACAUUAAGAGAUUUAUAUACAGUUAAAAAUAUUACACUUCAUUUCAUUUACCCAAUACAUUUAGUGUGUUCCCAAAUACAAUGCUCUUAUUUUUUUUAUUUUUUGGGGGACUAAUUUAUUCAUUGCCACCAGUUCUGAAACACUAACUGCAGCUCUUUGUUAAGUGUUGCAGUGAUUUCACUCACUGUAGUAGCUGAUGUGUAUAGUGUUGAGUCA